RNA transcript from Capsicum annuum, 4326 nucleotides. RefSeq lists it as uncharacterized. The transcript has 10 exons. Lineage: Eukaryota; Viridiplantae; Streptophyta; Magnoliopsida; Solanales; Solanaceae. The record is from RefSeq and is a predicted model, not a curated record.
GAUAAAGACACAGCCUUCGCACCAAAACACAGCCUUCACUUCUAUUUUUCUCUAUGGCCUUCAUACCAAUUCAAGUUUGUUUACUGUUUUCCUAUCAGAUCGAAAAUUGAGCUCGAUAAUCUCUUGGUUUUCCGGUGAGUGGCCAGGUUGUCAAAGAAACAAAAAGCUCAAAUUCCAGGUAGGAGCAUGGAGCUUGAUGACUGGAAAUGGAAAGAUAUGGAAAUUCGAUCUUCAGGUUAGGAUGUUUCCCACACAUCAAGUAGUAUUUCAAAGAGUACAUUAUUCUGGAUUCCAUUUAGAAGAGUCACAUACUUCAGAGAUUGAUCAACCAACUUCUAUAGAUGGAAGUGUUAAGCAACCUUUUGUUAUAGUGACUUUGUAUCUCAUCUUAGAGGAGUUAGUUCAGCAUUUACCGGAAGCAUAUGUCAUGGCUUUGUUUCUCCCAAUUUGUUGUCUGACGUUUGGUCAAAAUACAAUUUGUCGCUUUGGUAUGAGGAGAUCUCUAGGAAUUAUGACCAAAUAUGGGAACAGUUCAUGUAACAUGGCCAUGGUUGUGAAGCUUAAUCUUUGAACUGACAAAACUUUGAUUCUAUUCAAGGCGAUAAAUGCCAAUUCUUUGCAUCUAUCAUGAUUGGUAUCUGCUUGAAUCAUUCCAUCUUCCAUAGUGUUUUUGAAAAAUAGCUAGAUGCUUGACAUGAGGAUUAAGUAUAUACAGUACCUCAGGAUGAUAAAUGAUGGGAUGCAAGCAGGUCUACGACCCCCAAACUGGGUUAUGAUAUAUCAUAUUUUAGACCUGUAAUAGAUGAUGCUCUUCGCGACCAGGAUCCUCAGGAGGAAUGGAUAACUCAUGCUUGUGGCAUCCAUAACAAGCUUGAUUUUGUGAGUAAUAAAAUGCUCAUCCUAUAUCGAAGCUUCAAUUUUGUGGUAGGCACUUGUUUUUCUAUAUGGUUUGCAAGAAGUAAUACAUCAUAUAGUUGACUUGGUGGAUCCAUUUGAAGGAAUUUCCUGGCUGCUUUCCAAGAAUUUUGGGCCAUGAAGCUUUCGGGAUUGUGGAGAGUGUUGGAGAAGGUGUUGAGGAGUUGAAGGAAGGAGAUUAAGUCGUACCAAUAUUUUUGCCUGACUGUAUGGACAGUGUAGACUGUAAAUCCAAGAAAAGCAACCUUUGUUCCAAAUUUCCAUUUCAAAUCACUCCAUUGAUGCAUAGAGAUGACACAAGCAGAUUCACUACUGUUGAAGGAGAAACUUUACACCAUUUCCUGUAUGUAUCGAGUUUUUUCGACUACACAGUCGUUGAUGUUGUUAAUGUCAGAAAGAUUGAUCCUGAAAUCCCACCUCAUAAGGCAUGCCUUUUCAGCUGUGGAGUAUCAACAGGAUUGUAGCUGAUUCAAAUGCACAUGACCCUGGAGGUGAUUACACAUGAUGGUUAUUCAAGUUCCUCUCCUUUCCACCCUCCCCCGGCACCUGUCUGGGCAACCAAAUGCAUAAGAUUUCUUCUAAAUGCAAAAUUUUCUUUUGCAUGUUAAGACUACAUUAUGACGAAAAUUUGAUAGUGUUAGGAAUUGAUUGUUCUCGUAGUAUGGGGCUAAUUUCAGAACUAUAUAUAGUCAAGUUUUUAGGAGAAAAAAAGAAAAGAAAAUUGAAAGGAGGUUUAUGAUUUCUUUUAUUCAUAGUUAGUUAUUUUAUUCCCUUUAUUUCUACCCCCAAUCCACCCUCAAAUGAAAAAAAAGGUAUGGAAGUUUAUGUCUCAGGUAUAUCUAACAAGCUCUUCCAUCAUACAAUUCGUAUGGAGGCGGUUGCGCUAGUCCAGGUGAUUGCAUGCUUGUCUCUGCCAUGUCAUUUGUGUUAGAACAAAAAACUAAGGAUUUUGACAUAUUUUUCAUCAUGCCUUCUCUUUGUGUUUCUUUUUAUGUUGUCUUACUUCUGUUUUUUAUCUGGAUUUACUAUUGACAUAUUCAUUUACGGCUAGAGCAUUAACGUUAUUGUUAAGUUGGUUUUAUCUGACUUUCUUUAGUAUAAUAGCGUUGUGUUCUUCUGAUCAUUUGGAGACUGUUACUGUUGAUAUUGUUGAGACAGAGUUAUGCUUUAUAUAGCUGGUGAAAAUGAUGUUUUUUGAAAUUCUAAUAUCACUAUUUAGUCCAGAGCAUCAAAUUUAAUGUGGUUAUAUAGUUUAUUUACGUAUAUUGGAUUUCGAACAAAUCUCGGACACCCCGUCAAAGUCCAUUUUAGACUUAGAAAAUUCGGUGCACCAGGUUGCUAGUGCAACCUGGAUCAUAAAGGGUAAAACGUAUUUGAGGCAUGCGUUUUUUGCCUUAUGCACCUGGUAAUCUGGUAUGAGUACAAAUAGCCCUUUUUAACCAUUUUUGCUCAUUUUUCAUCUUGCCUCUUGAGAGAUAGACCAUAAAAUAGUGUGAGAGCUUAAAAGUGAAGCUUGUGGGUGUUCGGAAAGCUAUAUAUCUAUUUCUUGAUUUUCUUACGGAUUCACCCUUUAUUUUUAUCAAAUUUCUUGAUUAAUUAUUCAGAACUUUCAAAAUCUUAGUACUUGAUUUAGCCUCAAAUUCCAAACUUUUUCACUUGAAUAGUGUUCUUAAUCCUAUAAUUGCUCUUAUCUUCAAAACAACUUUAAUUCUUGAUUUCAAAAUGAAUUUCAAAGAUUUUAUUCGAUAAAGCUCAAAAAUGAGUUUUUUUCAAUUUGAAUCUCAUUUUUUACUCCAUUUGGAUUUUCAUCUGUAGAUUCCUAAGGUAUGAAGAACACGUUUUUAAAGUAAAGUUAUAAUUUUCCCCUUCUUUUUUGAAAACCUAUUUCAGGGGUUCAUUUUGAUCUUGAACCAAAAGUGGGCAAUAUGGGUAUCGUUAGCCUUAUUUUGAUGCAUAGAUUUUAUAUUUCUUGAUUUUAGUUCAUUUCGGAAUCAUUCGUAAGAAGUAGGGGUUUAUGGUUGAAGUAUUACGGACUAGUUUCGGCCUUCAAGGUAGGUUAGGACUUUAAUUCUUUCAGACUGGGUUGGGUAGUAAAUAUUGGUACAACAUACAUAUUAAGGGUGGGAACUAAUUAUUACAAAUUAUCUAUUUAUGUGUUGUGCCCAUGUAGGGGUCUAUGUGUGAUAUAAUUAUUGAAAUUGAAAUAUUGUAUGAUAUGUGUGAUUGUGUGAGGUCCUAUAUGAUUUUGAUAGCUUAAAAUACAUUUGAAUAAUUUUAUUAUGUUGUUGAAAAUGCCUUUUGUGGUACCGUUAGCGUAUUGUGAUAUAUUCAUACUUGUUGGCAUAUGAAACAUGUGAAAAUUCAUGGAUGAACAAAAAUAUGAGUGGAUAUUGGCUCACGUGGUUGUGGAAAUAUAUCAUUGUUGUUAGUUAUGAAAAUACUCAUUGUGAUUGGUUGUGAGCAUUACAUCCUCAUAUCAUAUUCAUUCAUGAAACAAAUCGUACCACCCUGGCAACACCUGAGAAAUAAUAGCAACACCUUUUAUAAAACCCUCCCCGAGGGAUAUGCCGAGGAGAAGAUAUUGCAACACCUUAUAAAACCCUUCCCGAGGGAUGUGUUGGAAAGGAGAUAUGGAUAUGGAUUAUGAAUUGUAUAUGGGUUGACGAACCCCUCAUGGAUCCCACGUUGGGAGGCUUACCUCCGUGGAUGUAUACGGGGAUUGUGCGACGAUCUCGUGCAUUAUCAUCAUCAUAUACAUUACACUUUCUUUAUUGUGUUUAUGUUAUGCUUGUAUUGCCAUAUUGACUUGUCAUCUAUCUAUUUGUUUAAAUCUUGACUUGUUAAUGUCUAAUUGUUCUAUCUUCCUUUAUUUGUACUUGAUGAUCUUGAUUAUACAUGUUUCCCCUUUGUUCUAAUUGUAUGUGAUAUUGUGUAUAGUUGUGUCCCUAUCUGGUGUGUUGAUUAUAUGUGGAUAUUAUAGAACUGUUAGUAUAAUCAGUGUGGGUUAUUGUUGUGGGACAUUUUUUGAUUGCAGGUAACGUGCCCUUAGUAAGUAUUGUAUAUGCUUUAUUUUCUACUUUGCUCGGUCGACCUAUAAUUCUUACUGAGUACAAGUGGACCAUACUCACGCCUACUGCGCCCUUUCGGUGCAGUUCCUAGUUCGAGUGCGCACCAACUUGGUUGAUUCGAGUGAUAUUUGGUGCUUUCAAGGUAUUGGUUAACUUUUAGGCGUCCGGAUGCACUCUACUACCUUUCUUAUAGACUAUGUCUUUACUUUCAUUUUCGAGUCAGAGUUUCUCUUGUAUUUGGAUAUUUUAUAUAUUUCUCUUGUAUUCAAGUUGUACUAGAUACGUUCUUAUAAUAUUGAAAUCAGGUUUUGAGAAUUGUGGUUGUACUGUUGAUUUUGUACUU